RNAcentral lists this ribosomal RNA (253 nucleotides) under uncultured bacterium. RNAcentral describes it as "partial 16S ribosomal RNA". It matches the Rfam family "Bacterial small subunit ribosomal RNA", at positions 524 to 776 of the family's 1533-position model. The record is from RNAcentral.
UACGUAGGGCCCGAGCGUUGUCCGGAAUCAUUGGGCGUAAAGAGCGUGUAGGCGGCUUGUUAAGUCUUGCGUGAAAUCUCGGGGCUCAACCCCGAGCGGUCGUGAGAAACUGGCAGGCUAGAGUGCGGGAGAGGAGAGUGGAAUUCCCGGUGUAGCAGUGAAAUGCGUAGAGAUCGGGAGGAACAUCUGUGGCGAAGGCGACUGCCUGGACCAGCACUGACACUGAGGCACGAAAGCGUGGGGAGCAAACAGG